RNAcentral lists this ribosomal RNA (253 nucleotides) under uncultured bacterium. RNAcentral's name for it is "partial 16S ribosomal RNA". It matches the Rfam family "Bacterial small subunit ribosomal RNA", at positions 524 to 776 of the family's 1533-position model. The record is from RNAcentral.
UACGGAGGGUGCGAGCGUUAAUCGGAAUUACUGGGCGUAAAGCGUGCGUAGGCGGUUACGUAAGUCGGAUGUGAAAUCCCCGGGCUCAACCUGGGAAUUGCAUUCGAGACUGUGUAGCUGGGGUGCGGAAGAGGGAAGCGGAAUUUCCGGUGUAGCGGUGAAAUGCGUAGAUAUCGGAAGGAACAUCAGUGGCGAAAGCGGCUUCCUUGUCCAGCACCUACGUUCAGGCACGAAAGCGUGGGGAGCAAACAGG